GGGGAAGGGUAGCUUGCUACCUGACCUAGCGGCGGACGGGUGAGUAAUGCUUAGGAAUCUGCCUAUUAGUGGGGGACAACAUUCCGAAAGGAAUGCUAAUACCGCAUACGCCCUACGGGGGAAAGCAGGGGAUCUUCGGACCUUGCGCUAAUAGAUGAGCCUAAGUCAACAUUAGCGUAGUCCGGUGGGGUAAAGGCCUACCAAGGCGACCAUCUGUAUCGGGUCUGAGAGGAUGAUCCGCCACACUGGGGACUGAGACACGGCCCCAACUCCUACGGGAGGCAGUACUUGGGGAAUAUUGGACAAUGGGCGAAAGCCUGAUCCAUCCAUGCCUCGUGUGUGAAGAAAGCCUUUUGGUCGUAACAGCACUUUAAGCCAAGGAUGGAGGCCUACCUGAUAUUAAUACUGCUUGGAAAGUCGGCCGUUUAUUCGCAGAAUAAGUCACCGGCCUAACUUCUGGUGCCACUCAACCCCGUGGACAAUACAGAAGGCUCCCGAGC
Molecule: ribosomal RNA, 500 nt
Filed under: uncultured bacterium
Lineage: Bacteria
Description: bacterial SSU rRNA
Rfam family: Bacterial small subunit ribosomal RNA
Source: RNAcentral